Molecule: ribosomal RNA, 807 nt
Filed under: uncultured bacterium
Lineage: Bacteria
Description: bacterial SSU rRNA
Rfam family: Bacterial small subunit ribosomal RNA
Source: RNAcentral
GUCGAACGGACUCAUAUUGAAACCUAGUGAUUUAUGAGUUAGUGGCGGACGGGUGAGUAACGCGUGGAUAACCUGCCGUAUACCGGGGGAUAACACUUAGAAAUAGGUGCUAAUACCGCAUAAGCGCACGGCUCCGCAUGGGGCAGUGUGAAAAACUCCGGUGGUAUACGAUGGAUCCGCGUCUGAUUAGCUAGUUGGCGGGGUAACGGCCCACCAAGGCAGCGAUCAGUAGCCGGCCUGAGAGGGUGGACGGCCACAUUGGGACUGAGACACGGCCCAAACUCCUACGGGAGGCAGCAGUGGGGAAUAUUGCACAAUGGGGGAAACCCUGAUGCAGCGACGCCGCGUGAGUGAAGAAGUAUCUCGGUACGUAAAGCUCUAUCAGCAGGGAAGAAAAUGACGGUACCUGACUAAGAAGCCCCGGCUAACUACGUGCCAGCAGCCGCGGUAAUACGUAGGGGGCAAGCGUUAUCCGGAUUUACUGGGUGUAAAGGGAGCGUAGACGGCAGCACAAGUCUGGAGUGAAAUCCCGGGGCUUAACCCCGGAACUGCUUUGGAAACUGUGCGGCUGGAGUGCGGGAGGGGUAAGCGGAAUUCCUAGUGUAGCGGUGAAAUGCGUAGAUAUUAGGAGGAACACCGGUGGCGAAGGCGGCUUACUGGACUGUAACUGACGUUGAGGCUCGAAAGCGUGGGGAGCAAACAGGAUUAGAUACCCUGGUAGUCCACGCCGUAAACGAUGAUUACUAGGUGUCGGGGGAUCAAGGUCCUCCGGUGCCGGCGCAAACGCAUUAAGUAAUCCACCUGGGG